RNAcentral lists this ribosomal RNA (292 nucleotides) under uncultured bacterium. Its description in RNAcentral is "partial 16S ribosomal RNA". It matches the Rfam family "Bacterial small subunit ribosomal RNA", at positions 613 to 901 of the family's 1533-position model. The record is from RNAcentral.
CCUGGGAACUGCAUGUGAUACUGGUGGUGCUAGAAUAUGUGAGAGGGAAGUAGAAUUCCAGGUGUAGCGGUGAAAUGCGUAGAGAUCUGGAGGAAUACCGAUGGCGAAGGCAGCUUCCUGGCAUAAUAUUGACACUGAGAUUCGAAAGCGUGGGUAGCAAACAGGAUUAGAUACCCUGGUAGUCCACGCCGUAAACGAUGUCUACUAGCCGUUGGGGUCCUUUCCGGGAUUCAGUGCCGCAGCUAACGCAUUAAGCACUCCGCCUGGGGAGUACGACCGCAAGGUUGAAACU